UCCUACGGGGCGCAGCAGUGAGGAAUAUUGGUCAAUGGCCGGAAGGCUGAACCAGCCAAGCCGCGUGAAGGACGAAGGUGCCAAGCAUUGUAAACUUCUUUUGUCAAGGGACAAAAUCAGGCUCGAGAGCCUGACCGAGGGUACUUGAAGAAAAAGCAUCGGCUAACUCCGUGCCAGCAGCCGCGGUAAUACGGAGGAUGCGAGCGUUAUCCGGAUUUAUUGGGUUUAAAGGGUGCGUAGGCGGACUGUUAAGUCAGCGGUAAAAGCCCGGGGCUCAACCCCAGCGAGCCGUUGAAACUGGCUGU
Molecule: ribosomal RNA, 305 nt
Filed under: uncultured bacterium
Lineage: Bacteria
Description: bacterial SSU rRNA
Rfam family: Bacterial small subunit ribosomal RNA
Source: RNAcentral